CCUUACUUCCUGCAGUCUUGGACUUUGCUAUUCUGCUGCUUUGCAGUGUUUUCCAUUGUGUUCCAGCUGGGAAUGUGUCAAAUAAAAUGUGAGGAUAAGAUGUAGAUGACACUGCUGUGCAUUUAUUUUAAACUGCUUAAAACUGCUCAACUCAGUUAUAGUUAAUCACACAAUCCCUGGAUGGCUGUGGGGGACCUCCGGAUGACAUCUAGUUUAAAAUCUCUGCUCAAGCAGGCCCAUCUGGACUCAUACCCAUGGGCUACAGCUCCGGUCCAGGGUCUGUUCCUGUGAAAGUCUCUCCAUGGGCUGUGGUCUCCUUCAGGCUACAUCCACCUGCUGCACUAUGGGCUCCACCACAGACUGCAUGUGGAGAUCUGCUCUGCAUGGUGCCCCAUAGGCUGCAGGAGGAAUUCUACUCUGUGCCUGCAGCAACUCCUGCCAUCCUUCUGGCCUGACCAUGGUGUCUGGGUUGCUGUUUGUCUCCACAGUUUCUCAUUCGUCUAUCCCAGCUGCUUUUGUACAGAAGUUAUUGUGGAGUUUUUUUUUAGUUGUUUAUCUCCUUUCACAGAGGCACAACUGGCAUUGUUCAUUGGCUCAGCUUUGGCCAGGGGUAGGUCCUUUUUGGAACCAGCUGGAAAGGAAUUUCUGAUAUGUGGCAGCUUCUGGGCUCUGCUAAUAGAAGCUAAGCCUGCAACUCUCAUACUAUCAAAAUAAUGCUAUUUAAACUCAGAACAUCUGAUUAAUCUGCCACUUCCUCCAGUUUUGUGUCAUCUGCAGACUUAAUGGGAGUAUGUUCAAUUCCAUUGUCCAGAUUAUUCAUGAAGGUGUUAAACAG
Molecule: long non-coding RNA, 835 nt
Organism: Lagopus leucura (white-tailed ptarmigan)
Lineage: Eukaryota; Metazoa; Chordata; Aves; Galliformes; Phasianidae
Exons: 3
Source: RefSeq, a predicted model, not a curated record